RNAcentral lists this ribosomal RNA (330 nucleotides) under uncultured eukaryote. RNAcentral describes it as "partial 18S ribosomal RNA". It matches the Rfam family "Eukaryotic small subunit ribosomal RNA", at positions 1470 to 1796 of the family's 1831-position model. The record is from RNAcentral.
CCCUUAGAUGUUCUGGGCCGCACGCGCGCUACACUGAUGAAUUCAACGAGCUCCUAACCUAGGCCGAAGGGUCCGGGUAAUCUUUGAAAUUUCAUCGUGAUGGGGAUAGAUUAUUGCAAUUAUUAAUCUUCAACGAGGAAUUCCUAGUAAGCGCGAGUCAUCAGCUCGCGUUGAUUACGUCCCUGCCCUUUGUACACACCACCCGUCGCUCCUACCGAUUGAAUGGUCCGGUGAAAUGUUCGGACCGCGACAAGGCGGACGGUUCGCUGUCAGCUUUGCUGCGGGAAGUUCAUUAAACCUUAUCAUUUAGAGGAAGGAGAAGUCGUAACA